GACGAACGCUGGCGGCGCGCCUAACACAUGCAAGUCGAACGGAGUCACGAGGAGCUUGCUUUUCUUGACUUAGUGGCGAACGGGUGAGUAACGCGUGAGUAACCUGCCCUGGAGUGGGGGACAACAGUUGGAAACGACUGCUAAUACCGCAUAAGCCCACGGAUCUGCAUGGAUCUGCGGGAAAAGGAUUUAUUCGCUCUAGGAUGGACUCGCGUCCAAUUAGCUAGUUGGUGAGGUAACGGCCCACCAAGGCGACGAUUGGUAGCCGGACUGAGAGGUUGAACGGCCACAUUGGGACUGAGACACGGCCCAGACUCCUACGGGAGGCAGCAGUGGGGGAUAUUGCACAAUGGGGGAAACCCUGAUGCAGCGACGCCGCGUGGAGGAAGAAGGUUUUCGGAUUGUAAACUCCUGUCGUUAGGGACGAUAAUGACGGUACCUAACAAGAAAGCACCAGCUAACUACGUG
This 468-nucleotide ribosomal RNA is filed under the name uncultured bacterium. RNAcentral describes it as "partial 16S ribosomal RNA". It matches the Rfam family "Bacterial small subunit ribosomal RNA", at positions 28 to 507 of the family's 1533-position model. The record is from RNAcentral.